This is a long non-coding RNA of Numida meleagris (helmeted guineafowl), 1147 nucleotides long. RefSeq lists it as uncharacterized. The transcript is spliced from 4 exons. The record is from RefSeq and is a predicted model, not a curated record. NCBI's taxonomy places the organism in Eukaryota, Metazoa, Chordata, Aves, Galliformes, Numididae.
UAGAGUUAAGAGAUAAAAAUAAUGACUCUUUCCACAGAUAUCCCAGGAGAAGAUGAGUGGAAUUAUUACCUGAGAAAAAAUUCAGCUUAUAUUUGCUUUAAGAUAAACAACGCAGUAAUUGUCCCUGGUAGAGCAAUUAUCUGCUAGACCUAAGAAGUAAGCAAGGCUCGUGUUUUCACUAUUCUUCUUUUAACUAUGUUCUCCGUGUGCAAGUAACAUAAUUCCUUUCACGUUUUUCCCCUUUUCACAAGCUGACAGAAAACUGAAUUUGUCUGUACCCUGAGUUGCUGAUGGUAGUAGGAAGUACGAAUUGCUACUGCACGAUCAACCACACCAGCUAAUGCACUCCUGACUCCAAAACAUACGGAGGAAAACCAAACAACACAACAUCACUGCUGCUCCUUCCUUCCAAGGCACUCUGGGAAAUAAAGCAAACAGAAGCAGCAGCAGGACAAGCAUCCCAGUAUAAACAUGAGUAAGCCACAAGGGCCUGCCACACAACCUACAGCUUACCACCAGUCAGCUGAGGCAGUAUCUUCAUACGGCAGAAGGUAAAUAUCAGUUUCAGAAAAAAGUAUCAAGUGAAAACAAACAAACAAUUACUCUCCUUCACAUAAAUUAUAAAACAAACAUUUCAGUUGUAUUACUACUUAAAAUUUUGGUUCUUACCUAAAUGGAGUGCCCAAUCAAAGCUGAAGGACAACAGUUAUUUGUAAAGGAAAAAGGACAUCCUGUGUUUGAGGACACAACGGUAUAUUUAAGUCAACCUGUAAAAUAUUUACCCUCUGAGGACUUCUACAGCUUCAAUUACUAUUCUCUGCUUUUUUCAGAAUGUAUUAAGCAGAUCUUCUGAGAUCACCGGGUUUGGACUACUUCAGAUUUAUUCCUGUCCCUCAAACACUGCCUGCUGGGGAAACACUAUCUGCCUGCCACAGCACAAUGUAAAGAAUGUAUGAGUGAGCAUCUACGUAAACCUCUGCUUUCCUGCCAACAACAGCAGCAACCCGGCAGUCUUGAAGAUUUCACUUGUACUGCUCAGAACUAAACUCCAUAAGGUGCAUUUCCUAUUAGUGAACAGAAGUAUUUCCUACUUACACAGUACUUGUCUCCAUGGAUCUUCCAUCAAGUUAGCCCACAAGGAUCUGAG